UCGGGAAUUUUGGGCAAUGGGCGAAGGCCUGACCCAGCAACGCCGCGUGAGGGAUGAAGUAUUUCGGUAUGUAAACCUCGAAAGAAUGGGAAGAAUAAAUGACGGUACCAUUUAUAAGCUCCGGCUAACUACGUGCCAGCAGCCGCGGUAAUACGUAGGGAGCAAGCGUUGUUCGGAUUUACUGGGCGUAAAGGGCGCGUAGGCGGCGCGGUAAGUCACUUGUGAAAUCUCUGAGCUUAACUCAGAACGGCCAAGUGAUACUGCUGUGCUAGAGUGCGGAAGAGGCGACCGGAAUUCUUGGUGUAGUGGUGAAAUGCGUAGAUAUCAAGAGGAACACCUGAGGCGAAGGCGGGUUGCUGGGCCGACACUGACGCUGAUGCGCGAAAGCCAGGGGAGCAAACG
RNAcentral lists this ribosomal RNA (402 nucleotides) under uncultured bacterium. RNAcentral's name for it is "bacterial SSU rRNA". It matches the Rfam family "Bacterial small subunit ribosomal RNA", at positions 355 to 774 of the family's 1533-position model. The record is from RNAcentral.